AAUAUUGCGCAAUGGAGGGAACUCUGACGCAGCGACGCCGCGUGAGCGAUGAAGGUUUUCGGAUCGUAAAGCUCUGUCCUUGGGGAAGAAGGCGGCCAUUUUUGGCCACUUGACGGUACCCAAGGAGGAAGCCCCGCCUCACCACGUGACAGCAGCCGCGGGAAUACGUAGGGGGCAAGCGUUGUCCGGAAUUAUUGGGCGUAAAGGGUUCGUAGGCGGCCUUUUAAGUCAGAAGUUAAAGACCACGGCUUAACCGUGGGGUUGCAUUUGAAACUGGAGGGCUUGAGUAUCGGAGAGGGUAGUGGAAUUCCCAGUGUAGCGGUGGAAUGCGUAGAUAUUGGGAGGAACACCAGUGGCGAAGGCGACUACCUGGACGAAGACUGACGCUGAGGCACGAAAGCUAGGGGAGCAAACA
Molecule: ribosomal RNA, 415 nt
Filed under: uncultured bacterium
Lineage: Bacteria
Description: partial 16S ribosomal RNA
Rfam family: Bacterial small subunit ribosomal RNA
Source: RNAcentral